RNAcentral lists this unclassified non-coding RNA (329 nucleotides) under soil metagenome. Its description in RNAcentral is "partial contains 5.8S ribosomal RNA, internal transcribed spacer 2, and large subunit ribosomal RNA". The stretch from base 1 to 120 matches the Rfam family "5.8S ribosomal RNA", at positions 35 to 154 of the family's 154-position model. The record is from RNAcentral.
GAUGAAGAACGCAGCGAAAUGCGAUAAGUAAUGUGAAUUGCAGAAUUCAGUGAAUCAUCGAAUCUUUGAACGCACAUUGCGCCCUCUGGUAUUCCGGGGGGCAUGUCUGUUCGAGCGUCAUUACAACCCUCAAGCUCAGCUUGGUGUUGGGCCCCGCCGCCCCGGCGGGCCCUAAAGUCAGUGGCGGUGCCGUCCGGCUCCGAGCGUAGUAAUUCUUCUCGCUCUGGAGGUCCGGUCGUGUGCUCGCCAGCAACCCCCAAUUUUUUUCAGGUUGACCUCGGAUCAGGUAGGGAUACCCGCUGAACUUAAGCAUAUCAAUAAGCGGAGGA